CCGGUAAACGGCGGCCGUAACUAUAACGGUCCUAAGGUAGCGAAAUUCCUUGUCGGGUAAGUUCCGACCUGCACGAAUGGCGUAAUGAUGGCCAGGCUGUCUCCACCCGAGACUCAGUGAAAUUGAACUCGCUGUGAAGAUGCAGUGUACCCGCGGCAAGACGGAAAGACCCCGUGAACCUUUACUAUAGCUUGACACUGAACAUUGAGCCUUGAUGUGUAGGAUAGGUGGGAGGCUUUGAAGUGUGGACGCCAGUCUGCAUGGAGCCGACCUUGAAAUACCACCCUUUAAUGU
Molecule: ribosomal RNA, 294 nt
Filed under: Escherichia coli
Lineage: Bacteria; Pseudomonadati; Pseudomonadota; Gammaproteobacteria; Enterobacterales; Enterobacteriaceae
Description: partial 23S ribosomal RNA
Rfam family: Bacterial large subunit ribosomal RNA
Source: RNAcentral